GACGAACGCUGGCGGCGUGCUUAACACAUGCAAGUCGAACGGAAAGGCCCUGCUUUUGUGGGGUGCUCGAGUGGCGAACGGGUGAGUAACACGUGAGUAACCUGCCCUUGACUUUGGGAUAACUUCAGGAAACUGGGGCUAAUACCGGAUAGGAGCUCCUGCUGCAUGGUGGGGGUUGGAAAGUUUCGGCGGUUGGGGAUGGACUCGCGGCUUAUCCGCUUGUUGGUGGGGUAGUGGCUUACCAAGGCUUUGACGGGUAGCCGGCCUGAGAGGGUGACCGGCCACAUUGGGACUGAGAUACGGCCCAGACUCCUACGGGAGGCAGCAGUGGGGAAUAUUGCACAAUGGGCGGAAGCCUGAUGCAGCAACGCCGCGUGCGGGAUGACGGCCUUCGGGUUGUAAACCGCUUUCGCCGGUGACGAAGCGUGAGUGACGGUAAUGGGUAAAGAAGCACCGGCUAACUACGUG
RNAcentral lists this ribosomal RNA (468 nucleotides) under uncultured bacterium. Its description in RNAcentral is "partial 16S ribosomal RNA". It matches the Rfam family "Bacterial small subunit ribosomal RNA", at positions 28 to 507 of the family's 1533-position model. The record is from RNAcentral.